CUGUGAGCUCGAUGAGUAGGGCGGGACACGUGGUAUCCUGUCUGAAUAUGGGGGGACCAUCCUCCAAGGCUAAAUACUCCUGACUGACCGAUAGUGAACCAGUACCGUGAGGGAAAGGCGAAAAGAACCCCGGCGAGGGGAGUGAAAAAGAACCUGAAACCGUGUACGUACAAGCAGUGGGAGCACGCUUAGGCGUGUGACUGCGUACCUUUUGUAUAAUGGGUCAGCGACUUAUAUUCUGUAGCAAGGUUAACCGAAUAGGGGAGCCGAAGGGAAACCGAGUCUUAACUGGGCGUUAAGUUGCAGGGUAUAGACCCGAAACCCGGUGAUCUAGCCAUGGGCAGGUUGAAGGUUGGGUAACACUAACUGGAGGACCGAACCGACUAAUGUUGAAAAAUUAGCGGAUGACUUGUGGCUGGGGGUGAAAGGCCAAUCAAACCGGGAGAUAGCUGGUUCUCCCCGAAAGCUAUUUAGGUAGCGCCUCGUGAAUUCAUCUCCGGGGGUAGAGCACUGUUUCGGCAAGGGGGUCAUCCCGACUUACCAACCCGAUGCAAACUGCGAAUACCGGAGAAUGUUAUCACGGGAGACACACGGCGGGUGCUAACGUCCGUCGUGAAGAGGGAAACAACCCAGACCGCCAGCUAAGGUCCCAAAGUCAUGGUUAAGUGGGAAACGAUGUGGGAAGGCCCAGACAGCCAGGAUGUUGGCUUAGAAGCAGCCAUCAUUUAAAGAAAGCGUAAUAGCUCACUGGUCGAGUCGGCCUGCGCGGAAGAUGUAACGGGGCUAAACCAUGCACCGAAGCUGCGGCAGCGACGCUUAUGCGUUGUUGGGUAGGGGAGCGUUCUGUAAGCCUGCGAAGGUGUGCUGUGAGGCAUGCUGGAGGUAUCAGAAGUGCGAAUGCUGACAUAAGUAACGAUAAAGCGGGUGAAAAGCCCGCUCGCCGGAAGACCAAGGGUUCCUGUCCAACGUUAAUCGGGGCAGGGUGAGUCGACCCCUAAGGCGAGGCCGAAAGGCGUAGUCGAUGGGAAACAGGUUAAUAUUCCUGUACUUGGUGUUACUGCGAAGGGGGGACGGAGAAGGCUAUGUUGGCCGGGCGACGGUUGUCCCGGUUUAAGCGUGUAGGCUGGUUUUCCAGGCAAAUCCGGAAAAUCAAGGCUGAGGCGUGAUGACGAGGCACUACGGUGCUGAAGCAACAAAUGCCCUGCUUCCAGGAAAAGCCUCUAAGCAUCAGGUAACAUCAAAUCGUACCCCAAACCGACACAGGUGGUCAGGUAGAGAAUACCAAGGCGCUUGAGAGAACUCGGGUGAAGGAACUAGGCAAAAUGGUGCCGUAACUUCGGGAGAAGGCACGCUGAUAUGUAGGUGAAGUCCCUCGCGGAUGGAGCUGAAAUCAGUCGAAGAUACCAGCUGGCUGCAACUGUUUAUUAAAAACACAGCACUGUGCAAACACGAAAGUGGACGUAUACGGUGUGACGCCUGCCCGGUGCCGGAAGGUUAAUUGAUGGGGUCAGCGCAAGCGAAGCUCUUGAUCGAAGCCCCGGUAAACGGCGGCCGUAACUAUAACGGUCCUAAGGUAGCGAAAUUCCUUGUCGGGUAAGUUCCGACCUGCACGAAUGGCGUAAUGAUGGCCAGGCUGUCUCCACCCGAGACUCAGUGAAAUUGAACUCGCUGUGAAGAUGCAGUGUACCCGCGGCAAGACGGAAAGACCCCGUGAACCUUUACUAUAGCUUGACACUGAACAUUGAGCCUUGAUGUGUAGGAUAGGUGGGAGGCUUGGAAGUGUGGACGCCAGUCUGCAUGGAGCCGACCUUGAAAUACCACCCUUUAAUGUUUGAUGUUCUAACGUUGACCCGUAAUCCGGGUUGCGGACAGUGUCUGGUGGGUAGUUUGACUGGGGCGGUCUCCUCCUAAAGAGUAACGGAGGAGCACGAAGGUUGGCUAAUCCUGGUCGGACAUCAGGAGGUUAGUGCAAUGGCAUAAGCCAGCUUGACUGCGAGCGUGACGGCGCGAGCAGGUGCGAAAGCAGGUCAUAGUGAUCCGGUGGUUCUGAAUGGAAGGGCCAUCGCUCAACGGAUAAAAGGUACUCCGGGGAUAACAGGCUGAUACCGCCCAAGAGUUCAUAUCGACGGCGGUGUUUGGCACCUCGAUGUCGGCUCAUCACAUCCUGGGGCUGAAGUAGGUCCCAAGGGUAUGGCUGUUCGCCAUUUAAAGUGGUACGCGAGCUGGGUUUAGAACGUCGUGAGACAGUUCGGUCCCUAUCUGCCGUGGGCGCUGGAGAACUGAGGGGGGCUGCUCCUAGUACGAGAGGACCGGAGUGGACGCAUCACUGGUGUUCGGGUUGUCAUGCCAAUGGCACUGCCCGGUAGCUAAAUGCGGAAGAGAUAAGUGCUGAAAGCAUCUAAGCACGAAACUUGCCCCGAGAUGAGUUCUCCCUGACUCCUUGAGAGUCCUGAAGGAACGUUGAAGACGACGACGUUGAUAGGCCGGGUGUGUAAGCGCAGCGAUGCGUUGAGCUAACCGGUACUAAUGAACCGUGAGGCUUAACCUUACAACGCCGAAG
RNAcentral lists this ribosomal RNA (2560 nucleotides) under Escherichia coli. RNAcentral describes it as "partial 23S ribosomal RNA". It matches the Rfam family "Bacterial large subunit ribosomal RNA", at positions 397 to 2925 of the family's 2925-position model. Lineage: Bacteria; Pseudomonadati; Pseudomonadota; Gammaproteobacteria; Enterobacterales; Enterobacteriaceae. The record is from RNAcentral.